UCAGCGUGGAUAUCCUGUGUGAACAUGCUUCCUGGGCACUGUCCAGGCGGCAGAGGGGAGCAUAAGACUCUACAAUGAUGUACAGUCCUGUCCUACAACGGGCAAAUGAAUCCAGGCCUUGAAUUUUGUCUGUAUAAGCCUCUUGUUUCUCAGAGAUAAACCAUACAGGAAACAACU
Erinaceus europaeus (western European hedgehog) is the source of this 177-nucleotide small nucleolar RNA. Its record names the gene SNORA73. It matches the Rfam family "Small nucleolar RNA SNORA73 family". From Rfam's summary of the family: U17 (SNORA73A and SNORA73B) also known as E1 belongs to the H/ACA class of small nucleolar RNAs (snoRNAs). Lineage: Eukaryota; Metazoa; Chordata; Mammalia; Eulipotyphla; Erinaceidae. The record is from Ensembl.